This 72-nucleotide transfer RNA is filed under the name Bos taurus (domestic cattle). It matches the Rfam family "tRNA". Rfam says of the family: Transfer RNA (tRNA) molecules are approximately 80 nucleotides in length. Their secondary structure includes four short double-helical elements and three loops (D, anti-codon, and T loops). Lineage: Eukaryota; Metazoa; Chordata; Mammalia; Artiodactyla; Bovidae. The record is from Rfam by way of RNAcentral. RNAcentral also lists the same sequence under 4 other names.
UCCCUGGUGGCUUAGAAGGUAAAGCUUCUGCCUGCAAUGUGGGAGACCUGGGUUUCAUCCCCAGGUUGGGAA